GGGGACGUAGCUCAGUUGGGAGAGCGACGCGUUCGCAACGCGUAGGUCGGCGGUUCGAUCCCGCUCGUCUCCACCA
Molecule: transfer RNA, 76 nt
Filed under: Geobacter pickeringii
Lineage: Bacteria; Pseudomonadati; Thermodesulfobacteriota; Desulfuromonadia; Geobacterales; Geobacteraceae
Description: tRNA-Ala (CGC) (tRNA-Ala-CGC-1-1)
Rfam family: tRNA
About the family: Transfer RNA (tRNA) molecules are approximately 80 nucleotides in length. Their secondary structure includes four short double-helical elements and three loops (D, anti-codon, and T loops). Further hydrogen bonds mediate the characteristic L-shaped molecular structure. tRNAs have two regions of fundamental functional importance: the anti-codon, which is responsible for specific mRNA codon recognition, and the 3' end, to which the tRNAs corresponding amino acid is attached (by aminoacyl-tRNA synthetases). tRNAs cope with the degeneracy of the genetic code in two manners: having more than one tRNA (with a specific anti-codon) for a particular amino acid; and 'wobble' base-pairing, i.e. permitting non-standard base-pairing at the 3rd anti-codon position.
Source: RNAcentral